ACUGUUGCCGUGGAUGGGUCCCUGAGACUUUGCGAAGUAGGAGCCCUGUGUGAUAGUGCGUCAGAGUCGGGCCUGAGAGCAGUCCUGGCCAGGGCUUUAACAGGAUGGUCUCCGGAGCCUGGGAUUCUCGGAGGGCUGACCACCAGGAAGAAACCUCAGAAGUCGGAAUCUCACUCUGUCACUCAGUCGAGUGCAGUGGCGGGAUCUCAGCUGACUGCAAACUCUGCCGCCCAGGUUCAAGUGAUUCUCUUGCCUCCGCCUCCCGAGUACCUGGUACUAGAGGGAUUAGUCAGUGUCGGGGCUAAGACCAGUCCUGGCCAGGGCAUCAACAGGAUAGUCUCUGGAGGCCGGGAUUCACGGAGGGUCGUCCAGGAGGAAGAAACUGCAGGUGGAGGGCCGGGCAAGCAGCGCGGGAUCCCAGGUUCAGGCCUGCACGGACGGUGUGCCAGUGAGUCUCUUCAAAAAAGGAGAGGUUUGCUUGUGUGCCCGUGGGCUGCUCUCUCACUAGUGGGUUGUAGUCGUGGAGAGCAGAACCCUGAAAAUUCAGGGGCUGCCUGGGUGUAGGUGUUACCGUGCCACUGCUGUAUGUCUGUGCGUUUGUGUGUGUGCGUAUGUCUCUCUCUUGUUUCUCUCUCUCCCUUUUCUCACUCUUUUGCUCUGUGUCCCUGUGUGCGUGUGUGUGUGUGUGUGUUGGGACAUAUGUGCCCUGUGCGCCAGAGGACGGUAUCUUCUACGUCCGCCUUUCUUGUGGUCAGCCUCUCCCCGCGUCUCUGCCUGGCUUGCGUGGCCCGUUGUCAGUCAUUUUUCUGGCGGUUCCAGUUUAGGUUUGUGAAGGUCCAGAUGAGAUGGGGAGCUGCGUCUCUCUCAUAAGAAUUUAAAUCACCUCCCCACCCUGAGAGGCCUCUUUUCCAGGAUAAAGGCCUCCACCCCCAAGCCAAGGAUAAUAGCCUCACCGGAGAGGUCAUUGUCUACCUGCAGGAGCAGUGCAGAGCGACCUGAAAGAAGGUGGUUCUCAUUCGUCUCUCUCUUUCAUCUCCUUGAGAAAUCUAGCCACAGGGUAACACAGGUUUUGAGAGGAUGGGAACGGGACGUGGCAAGGAUCUGUGAGUGUGCAGGCUGUGUUUCACAUAUCAUUAAACAUAGUCUAGUGAGGGUUCUGCAGAUAACUGGCAUUUAAGUUUGUUUUAUUGAAUCAAGGAAAAAGAAAAAAUACUGAGAAAAAAAUGACGCAACUUGCCUGCCAGCCCAUCUGACUGUUACAAAUUUAAUAGUAAUUUUAAUUUAUCAUCUCAUGUAAAGGUCCUUGGCAGUGAUACCUAAUUUCCUAAGAUAGCCUUGCUUUAUAUUGUGUGAUUAAGAUGUCAUGCAUAUCAGAGUAUCUGGAAAUUCUUCCCAACGUCCUUUACAUACGUGAUUAAUCACAUUUCCAAAAUAACAUACCAAAACGAAUAACAGAAAAUCAUUUUAAGUUGUGGUUCCUUCAUGCACAAAACAUUUCAUGUGUGUCUGGCCCUCUUCCGGCCACAGAUUUCAUCUUAACCUAAGUAUUGAAAUGCUUGUGCCCUUUGAUUAAUUUUUCUGUGUAAAUACUUUGAUAAUAAGCUACAUUGAGGCCGGGUGCAGUGGCUCACACCUCUCAUCCCAGUUCUUUGGGAGGCUGAGGCCAGCGGAUCACGAAGUCAGGAGAUCAAGACCAUCCUGGCCAACACAGUGAAACCCUGUCUCUUCAAAUAUACAAAGAAUUAGCCAGGUAAGGCCAGGCUCUGGCUCAUGCCUGUAAUUCCACACUUUGGGAGGCUGAGGAGGGUGGAUCACCUAAGGUCAGGAGUUUGAGACCAGUCUGCCCAACACGGUGAAACUCUGUUUCUACUAAAAAUACAAAAAAUUAGCUGGGUGUGGUGUCAGGUGACUGUAAUCCCAGCUACUCGGGAGGUUGAGGCAGAAGAAUCACUUGAACCCAGGAGGCGGAGGUUGCAUUGAGCUGAGAUCAUGCCACUGCACCAUCUGGCCUGGGGGACAAGAGUGAAACUCUGUCAAAAAAAAAAAAAAAACUGGUCUAUACUGAAAAUACAAAAAUUAGACCCUGAAGGUCACGUCCAAAUGAGAAAGACAUUGUUUGGCUCAAAUUGUCUGACACUAAGGAAUAGUGCAGACUGGACAAGUGAGGUGGCUGACACCUGUAAUCCCAGUACUUUCGGAGGCCGAGGCUGGUAGAUCACCUGAGGUCAAGAGUUGGAGACCAGCCUGACCAACAUCAUGAAACUCCAUCUCUACUAAAAAAAAGUACAUGAAAAUUAGCUGGCUAUGAUGGUGCAUGCCUGUAAAUCCCAGCUACUCAGGAGUCUGAGGCAGGAGACUUACUUGAAACUGGGUGGCGGAGGUUGUGGGGAGUGGAGAUCACACCACUGCACUCCAGCCUGGGCAACAAGAGUGAAACUCUGUCUCAGAAAACAGAAUAGUGCAGAGUAAGAGCAGAUUUAUAUAUGUAUGUAUGUAUGUAUGUAUGUAUGUAUGUAUGUAUGUAUGUAUUUUCAGAGAAGCAGGGAAUCUGGAAUUUUGGGUGAAAUGUCUGUUUCCAGAAGCUGAAAAUGCUCUCAAAUGGAAAAUUCAGGUUAGCCUAUAUCAAGCUUCUCCUUGUUCUAUGUGUGAAGACCAUGGGACAGAGGGAGCAGCUUGAGCCAAGUCAGGAUGGUAGGAUGGGACAGGUGGCCAGGGCUGCUGCACUGGGGACCCUGGUGGAGGAUUUCGCUGGAAACGCAGGUGGGACCAGACCAUGAAGAGUCUCAAACACAGACUUGAGGACUCUGACCUUUAUCCUGGGGGCAGCAAGAAGCCAUGUUAGGUGAAGGAACAAGGCUGUUUCUCCCUCAGCACUAGUGCAAGGAAAGGCCAGGGAGGCCCUCAGUGGAAGCUUGCUGCUGGAUUUGUUGAUGUGCCUUUUCUCCUGCCUGCACUGGGGUCAGAAUGGCCUUGGGUACUGCACACUUCCUACCAGGAAUAGAAGGCCCCACAGCUAUAGCACCUCUCUUCCUUUUAGUUCUUUGGAAGGAUGAGCAAAUUAUUCACCCUCUCUGAGCCUCAGUUUUCUCAUCCAUAAAAUGAUGACAGUUCACCAACCUGGCAGGUCACAAGGAUGUUAUGAAAUCAGGUGAGCACAGCAUAGCAGGUGUAUUUUUGGGUCCUAUUAUUACAUGUGAACUAAAUUGCCUUGUAGAAAAGGCACAGGCUCAGGGGACCUGUGUUUCAAUCCCACUAUGCCCCUGUAAUGCCCACCUCUCAGGGAUGAUGGAAAGAUUAAGUUCACGGAGAUGAUGCUUGUGCAGCAUCUGAUACCCAGCAGAUACCUAAGAACCUAACCUACCACCCACCUGAGCAAGCACAACAGUCCUGCUCCUCCUGCAAGCACUGGGGAUGCUGCCUCCCACCCGCCUUAGAACACUGCUCCUCCUCCCUCUCUGCAGGGGGCAUUUUGUAGGCCUCAGUCGCUGGGCUUGCUGUCCUCUCACCUGCCUCUCAGCACGGGGCUCAGAGCACACAUUCUUCACCUUUGCAAGAAGCUUCUCUACGCAUCCUUGCCCCUAGGCUUGCUGAGUGCAUUCACCUGUUGUCUUAUUUAUAAUCAGGACAGAGUUGCUCCCUACUGUGUAGAUGAGGAAAUGGAGACCUAGAAAGGGAAGGAAAGACCAACACUUUGAGCACCUGCAAUGUGCCUGAGGCAAUGUACGCAUUAGCUCUGCUUCACAGCAGCCCAAGAGGGAGGUAUUAUUCUUCCCCUGUGUAAAUGUGGGUGUUGAGGCUCAGAGAAGGGCAGUGACUUGUCCAAGGUCACAUAGCAAGCAACCGUCAGUGGCUGAGGGCUAACCCAGGUCUUUCUGACUUCAGAGUGUGGGAUUUAGAACAAACAUUUGCAACGUGAGAUUGACAGAUCCAUCCCCCAGUGCCAUUCCAAAGACCAGAUGGGGUCAUAAGUGUGUGAGUACCUGACAUGGUGCCCAAGGACUGGGAGUAGAAGCAGAAUCCCAUCCACCUCCACCUAAUCAUACAGAGAAAGGAGACAGGAGCUGAGGGAGGGCAGUGCUAUGUCCAAGCUCUCAGCAAGCAGUAGGCAGAGCCCAGGCCCCUGCUUUCCCAUGCCCACCCCUUCCCAGUUCAGGGCAAGGCCACCUCUCCAGGGCCUUUCCCUCCCCUAGAGAGGAAACUCCCCAAGUUCCUCUGACCAGACAGGAGAGUGAACGAGAGAAGAAAAUUCCACUUCAGCACACACACCUGGAGCCUGAGGCUGAAAGCUGGAAUCCCAGACUUUGACACUCAAGAAGGCAUCUCCACACUUUUUCAGCACCUCCACCUGGGACAUUCAUGAGCACCUGGCUUCCCUCCCAGGGGAGAGGGGUGUCCCAGAGACACUGGGGCCCUUAGAAGGCACUAUGAGUUGGCAGUGACUGCAGCAGCGUGGUGGGAUUGUGGGUGGUGUAGGAAGCAGGGGAAGCAGAUCACAGCACUCAGGAUGGCCAGAGCUGAAGGCAUCAGAGUCCCCUGUCCUUGUUCUGCAAAAAAAAAAAAAAAAAAAAAACCCACGGCAUAUUCCCUUCCCACUCCACACCUCCCACGGUCAGCAGUAGGCCCCAGAGGAGGAGAAGCGAGGCCUCAGGAGGACAGCAGCCACUGCUGGCAAGACGUUGGUGUUCUCCUGUUGAACUGCACAGGUUGUCAGCAUCAGACAAGGUCGCUCUGUGACCAUGAUGGGUCAAGACAAAGCAAGGUCACUUGGUAGCUAUCAUGGCUCAGCUCAUGCAAAACAUGGACAAAAAUGACCUCACACCCCCUCCCCUGUGUCUAUGUCAUGACCACUACCUCUGUCAAUUGCAGCGUUAGCUUUGGUCUUGUCUUCCUUCCUUCUAGGUAAGAUUGGGGAAGAUGCCAGGUGAUAGAAUCCACCCUGCCUCUGACAGCAUCCAAUCUGGAGCAAAGGCUUCUUUCAACCUUCCCCCAAGCUCCCAAUACAAGCCCAAAUUCUGGAACAAGUCCUUUCCAACACCUCCUUCAGAGAAGCUCCCUGGCUCCAGGCAGUGCUUGCUCCCCUCACUGCAGCAGGAAGCCUAACUUGCGAACUGCAGGUGUGCUCCAGGUGGUCACUGGAUGCAAGGUAUUGACAGAUGGAUCCCAUUGAUACCCCCACUGCAUAACCAUGUAAGCCUAUCAUCCCCCACUUGCACAUGAGGAAACGGAGGUCCACAGGGUGGGGAAGGGAAGACAUAAUUUGUCCUUCAAAUGCGAUACCGGUGAGAUGUGAGAGGCAGCAUCCCUCAUAACUCAGCAAGGCAGUGGGCACACUAGGACCCUCCCAGGCAGAUCGGGUGCGUGGUCGCCCCCAUUGCAUAGCAUGGGUGGGAGUUGGGGAGACCAGACAUGGGUCUCACCACCUCUGCACUGGCCCGACCUCUCUGCAGGCCCCCAGGACAGGGUUAGCAUCUGCUUGCUGGCAGGCCUGGCCACCAGAAGUAUUUGCUUAUGUCUAAGGUCCCUGUAGUUGUGGUUCACAGGAUUGGGGCUGCUCCUGAGAUUCAGCACCACACAGGCACUGCAUGGAACUGUGCUAUGGUGGUGGGCACUCGCUUUCCAGAUAGGGCCCAUGUUGCCAGCAGGCAUGAUGCAUCAUUUACCCUACCCUGAGUGCAAUAUGUGGUUUUAUAGAAAAAAACUUGGGCCAGAUGCGGUGGCUCACACCUGUAAUCCCAGCAGUUUAGGAGGCCAAGGUAGGCGGAUCAAAAGGUCAGGAACUCAAGACCAGCCUGGCUAAUAUAGUGAAACCUUGUCUCUAUGAAAAAUACAAGAAUUAGCCAGAUGUGGUGGUGGGCACCUGUAGUCCCAGCUACACCGGAUACUCCGGAGGCUGAGGCAGGAGAAUCGCUUGAACCCAGGAGGCAGAAGUUGCGGUGAGCCAAGAUCAUGCCACUGCACUCCAGCCUAGGCGACAGAGCAAAACUCCUUCUCAAAAAAAAAAAAAAAAAAAAAAAAAAGAAAGAAAAGGAAAAGUAUUUGUAGAUGAAUGAAGGUGAUUCCUUUGAAUAUUGAAAAUGAUUUUAUUUUAGCCAUUGGUCUGACACUCAUUCCGAUGGGGUGACAUGUGUCCCUGCCUUAGUCAUCAGAGCACAGGAGUUUGCUACACCUCCCCUCAUCUGAAGAUUCAGCCCAUGAGCAGGAACGCCUGUCUUUGUGUCAUACCAACAGAGAGGAUGUGUCUGGUUUCACCAUUCACUGCAGAGGCAGAAAUUACCCAGAAAGAAGAGACAGUCUGUUCCCGGGAGUGUGUCCUUUUGACCCCGCAUGGGGGUCAUCUCCCUUCCUUGGCCAGGACCCCCAACCUGAACACAGAGGUAGAGAACAUGUGAAGGGCUCCCAUUCCCAGGUGGUCCAGGGUGCAAGCUCUGAGCCUGUGGUCCUGGUCACUGCCCUUUUCUCCACAGCAUGGCAGUCACCAUCCUGGGCUGGGGUACAGAGGGGCUUUGCAGAGAUCAGCAUAACAAAAGCAUCACUGAGAUGCUGCAAUAGGAAACCGUGAUACCUUCGUGGGCUGCCAAGGCAGCCUAAGCUAUUUGUUGCUGCACUCAGUGUCCCCAGACAGCUGUGUGGCUGUCACUGCCUCUGAUGUGUCCAUUUUACUUCUCUUCUCCUGCCUCAGCUUCUGCUCUGAACUCUGUCUCUAACUUACAAGAAAUCAAGCUCACUGGAUUCUGAGCUCUUCGGGGUCAAGGACUGUGUCAGUAGUUCAUGUCUCUUUCUAGAGAUCACAGCUUAGUAUCUGGCACAGAGCAGAUACUCAGCCAAUGCCAAAUGAUUCAUUUGCCAGAAGGCUGAAUAUCAUCCAUAAUCCUAGUCAAUGCAAAUACAUUUUGCCGGUGGGGUGUGUUUGUCCUCUGAAGGCGUUUUCCCAGGCUUUGUAAAUACAUACAGGCCAUUUAGAAAUUUGAAUGUCAAAGAGUAAAGGAGCUUAGAAAGUAAGCAUUGGAGAAGUGUGGGAGGGUGGUAUUAUUUACAAAACAUUCCUGGGUCCUUGUGAGUUCUAUACACCCUUGAUGAGCACUGAUUCUGGGCCAGGCCAGACACCCAGCUGGACCCAGGAGAUACUGAGGUGAGUAAAGCCAAAAUGCCUCCAUUCAGCAGGAGGCGGGCAGUCACACCAAAGUGAUAAAGGCACAAAAUGCAGAGGCAGCAGAGGAGCAAUGACUACCUUGUUCCAGGACUCUGUGACCUCAGGGAGAGCUUUCAGAGGAGGACAUCUGUGCAAGGCUUGGAAGGAUGAACACAAAUUUGCCUAGCAGAAAAGGGAGCCAAGCAAAUCCUGAUGGAGAACAGCUUGGGUGAGAGUGUGAGCCACAGGAUUGAGGGGCUCAGGCAUGUAACUGGAGGAGCAGAAAGAAUGAGGGGAGAUAAAGUUGGGAGGUCAGCAGAGGUCAGUCACAGAAGGUUUUGAAUCCUGGUGAGGAAGCAAUGGGUGCUGCACAAGGGACAUGGGCCUGGAGGAGAUGCAGUUAGCUCUGAGUGAAGAUGGAGCAUGCCAUCCACCAGGGAACCACAAGAUGCAAUAGAAAUAAGAACCCUGAGAAGCCUGCACAAAGAAUGAGGGGCCCAGGGGUAGCACCAAGAAGGUCCCUGUCAGAGGCCAGCUUUGAACGGAGACAGAAAAGACUCUUGAGGGCCUCAGCUGCUGCAAACCUCCUCAAUAAAUCAUAUUUUACCUUCCAAUAUUUGCUAAAGAAUACUAACUAUUGGAAGAGCAAUGGCCCAUUGAUAAUAAUUAUUCCCUCAAUGUACAUUUUUUACAAUUCUCAAAAUGCUCUCGGUCCAGUCUCUCAUUGGAACCCCCAUAAAAUCCCAUUUUACAAAUAGGGAAAUGAGGCCCUGUGAUGUCACACCGAGGUUUGCAGCAGUUCCAGGAUAGAAA
This 7942-nucleotide long non-coding RNA is filed under the name Homo sapiens (human). RNAcentral's name for it is "HSALNT0400398". The record is from RNAcentral. Lineage: Eukaryota; Metazoa; Chordata; Mammalia; Primates; Hominidae.